UACGUAUGGGGCAAGCGUUAUCCGGAAUUAUUGGGCGUAAAGAGUGCGUAGGUGGUUACCUAAGCGCAAGGUUUAAUCUUGAGGCUCAACCUCAUUCUGCCUUGCGAACUGGGCUACUUGAGUGCUGGAGGGGGAAAGCGGAAUUCCCAGUGUAGCGGUGAAAUGCGUAGAUAUUGGGAAGAACACCGGUGGCGAAGGCGGCUUUCUGGACAGUAACUGACACUGAGGCACGAAAGCGUGGGGAGCAAACAGGAUUAGAUACCCCUGUAGUCCCU
RNAcentral lists this ribosomal RNA (275 nucleotides) under uncultured prokaryote. RNAcentral's name for it is "partial 16S ribosomal RNA". It matches the Rfam family "Bacterial small subunit ribosomal RNA", at positions 524 to 798 of the family's 1533-position model. The record is from RNAcentral.